AUGGAGACACGAGGGAAAGCCCUACCGCUCGAGCGCGCGCAUGCAUUGCUAGUUGACAAAUUCGUCAAUCAUCUUUUCUGUUACCAGCAUCGCAUCAUCGACGGGACAAAGCGUCUUGUCCUUUCCUCUUUCCCAGCUUCCUUCCACACUUCACCCACCUGCCCUGCCACCCCCUUUCUCUCGUCUCAUCUCAUCUCAUCUCAGGUAAACCAAAAAAGAAAAGUGUACCAGGCCAUGCAUCCAUACAAAGCCCAUAAUCCCUUUACAGCAAAAAAGGUGAAACCAAAGCUAGCCAAAGAAACGACAGAAAUCAAAGUAAUUUCCCCAGUGUAA
This 333-nucleotide ribosomal RNA is filed under the name Triticum aestivum (bread wheat). RNAcentral's name for it is "partial small subunit ribosomal RNA". Lineage: Eukaryota; Viridiplantae; Streptophyta; Magnoliopsida; Poales; Poaceae. The record is from RNAcentral.